UGGUGGCCCAACCGGAGCAGCUGCUGCCCGCCGACCCGCUGCUGCCGGAACGUCGCCACGUACGGCUGCAGGCUGUCGUCCAGACCUGGAAACAAAUGUUCACACCCAGGAAGUGUUCACACCCAGGAAGUGUUCACACCCAGGAAGUGUUCAGACACAGGAAGUGUUCACACCCAGGAAGUGUUCACACCCAGGAAGUGUUCACCCAGCAGGGGGCGCUGCGGGGAGGUAUUGACGCCCCGCUCUGGCUCCGAGAGCAAACAGCUGCUGAGUCAAUAUUAACUCUUCCUCCCUUCGACCCGACAACAUCAGAACCUACGCCUCGCUCUGAAGCAGAGAGUCUGCUGAACCAGAACCGCCUGAAAACCCACCAGGCUCAUCAGAACUUCAUCAGAACUUCCUUGUAUUGGCUCCAGACAUGGAAACUACGGAGUGCUGAUCCUGACGAAAAUGGCAGAAAAAUCAAUAAAUGGAUCAAACAGUAACUAAUGAUCUAAUUCUCUCUUUAUUUCCUGAUCCAAAGUAAACAGAACCAGAACAUUCCCUCUAGGGCUGAAACGAUUCCUCGAGUGAUUCGAGUUCCUCGAUUAUAAAAAUUUGUUGAGGAAAAUUUAUCUGCCUCGAAGCUUCGUUAAUUUAUGUUUUAUUAUUUAGCGCGCCGUGUUCCGGCCGGGUCGGUGCUUGCGUUGCGCGGCGCUCUGACGUCCGCCUGAGUUGUUGAUGAAAGCUAAGUGUUAGCGGCAUAGCGUUUGUCGCUUUUAUGGACCAAUAAACAUCCUUAAAACGCUGCCUGGAACCAACUGGGAACCAACUGGUCGGGUCGUUAGGCGGGUCAGCAGAUGGUUGAUGAAGGCUCCGGCAGCAGGGAGGAAGACUCCUGCUGGGAAUCUGAAUCGGGUCAAGAACCGGAUCAGAACCGUUUAUUUACUUUCAUUGAAGUUUGAUUUUAAUGAUUUUAUUCAAAGAUGAAAACAGAAUCAGUUUGUAGAAAAGUUUUUAUUAAGAUCCUGAGGAUGCAGAACAGAACCACAGAACUGACCCGUAUGGAUAAGGGAGGUUCUGCUCAUUCUAAAGGAAACAUCCGUCUGGUUCUGACCCGGCCCGGUUCCAGCAGAACCAGCUGGGACGGGUCGGUGGCUCAGCAGGAAACAGGAUUUCCUGCUGAGCUCCAUGAAUCCGGAGAGCUGGACAAACAGGAACCGACCCGGUUUGUCUGGGUCAGAACCAGAACACCUGAGGUUCUGCUGUCUGACCCGUCUCCUGGAGCAACCGGGUCGUUCAGAACCUCUUCAUCUGUGAUGAGGAACACCAGCUGUUGAGCGUGGCAGGUUCUGACGGGUUCUGGACCCCUCCUCCUCGCUAGCAGUACCAGGAACCAACCGGGUCGCUGGAACCGCUCAGCUGGGGCGUUCUGCACCUGCCAGGAACCCAAGGAAUGUCAACCCGUCUCAACAUGUCGGCGUCGCUCCGACGCCUCCGGGACAGAUCCGUCCGCCCAGCUGCUCCGUUCUACAGAACCGGUACCAGGUUCUGGAGCGGUCCAACAGAGGCAUCUCUCUGGUUACGUUGUUU
Molecule: long non-coding RNA, 1572 nt
Organism: Xiphophorus couchianus (Monterrey platyfish)
Lineage: Eukaryota; Metazoa; Chordata; Actinopteri; Cyprinodontiformes; Poeciliidae
Exons: 2
Source: RefSeq, a predicted model, not a curated record